CAGCCGCCACGGGAAUACGUAGGGUGCAAGCGUUAAUCGGAAUUACUGGGCGUAAAGCGUGCGCAGGCGGUUAUAUAAGACAGAUGUGAAAUCCCCGGGCUCAACCUGGGAACUGCAUUUGUGACUGUAUAGCUAGAGUACGGCAGAGGGGGAUGGAAUUCCGCGUGUAGCAGUGAAAUGCGUAGAUAUGCGGAGGAACACCGAUGGCGAAGGCAAUCCCCUGGGCCUGUACUGACGCUCAUGCACGAAAGCGUGGGGAGCAAACAGGAUUAGAUACCCCUGAGUCCCUGUCUCUUAUACA
This 301-nucleotide ribosomal RNA is filed under the name uncultured bacterium. Its description in RNAcentral is "partial 16S ribosomal RNA". It matches the Rfam family "Bacterial small subunit ribosomal RNA", at positions 509 to 808 of the family's 1533-position model. The record is from RNAcentral.